CCUACGGGAGGCAGCAGUGGGGAAUCUUGCGCAAUGGGCGAAAGCCUGACGCAGCAACGCCGCGUGCGGGAAGAAGGCUUUCGGGCUGUAAACCGCUUUCAGCAGGAACGAAAAUGACGGUACCUGCAGAAGAAGGAGCGGCCAACUAUGUGCCAGCAGCCGCGGUGAUACAUAGGCUUCAAGCGUUGUCCGGAUUUAUUGGGCGUAAAGAGUUCGUAGGCGGUCAAGUAAGUCGGGUGUGAAAAUUCUGGGCUCAACCCAGAGACGCCACCCGAUACUGCUUAACUUGAGUUCGAUAGGGGAGUGGGGAAUUCCUAGUGUAGCGGUGAAAUGCGCAGAUAUUAGGAGGAACACCGGUGGCGAAGGCGCCACUCUGGAUCGAUACUGACGCUGAGGAACGAAAGCAUGGGUAGCAAACAGGAUUAGAUACCCUGGUAGUCCAUGCCGUAAACGGUGGGCACUAGGUGUGGGUUUCUAUUAACGAAAUCCGCGCCGUCGCUAACGCAUUAAGUGCCCCGCCUGGGGAGUACGGUCGCAAGCUAAAACUCAAAUGAUGCGCNGAGNGCGCGACGACGACGACGAGGAG
Molecule: ribosomal RNA, 586 nt
Filed under: uncultured bacterium
Lineage: Bacteria
Description: bacterial SSU rRNA
Rfam family: Bacterial small subunit ribosomal RNA
Source: RNAcentral